AUGAGGAUACUUCUCAUCUCUUGCAUUCUACUCCCCCUUGGGUUUCUUUCUCUUGCACCACCUCUACCCGCAGCUAGCUCGAGAAGCGCACGAACGUCUGGGUACAUUGUUAUCAGUGGUUGCAACAAUUACUGCAGCGUGGCCUGCUGCUACUGCAACAUCCACAGGUUUCCACCUGUUUGUGAAAAGUGCUGCGAGUAA
RNAcentral lists this ribosomal RNA (201 nucleotides) under Triticum aestivum (bread wheat). Its description in RNAcentral is "partial small subunit ribosomal RNA". Lineage: Eukaryota; Viridiplantae; Streptophyta; Magnoliopsida; Poales; Poaceae. The record is from RNAcentral.